GCGGCAAGAUCUAUCACUUUUCCUAUCCCCUCGGACGGAUGGAUGUCAGCUUCAUCUCCUUUUGCUUCUCCUUCUCCACUCUUCCUUCUUCUACAGCAAAAGCCAUUCAUAUCAGUCACUCACUUCUGGAGAGACAGACACUUAGACCAGUUCUUUCCUUCGUGUCUCUACAUCUCUCAGGCUCUAGCCCAUUGAUCGCCGGUUUUGUAUUCUUGCUGUGUUUAC
Non-coding RNA from Caenorhabditis elegans, 225 nucleotides. NCBI's taxonomy places the organism in Eukaryota, Metazoa, Nematoda, Chromadorea, Rhabditida, Rhabditidae. The record is from Ensembl.